GCGGAAGUGGUGAAAUGGCAGACACGCUGGUUUUAGGUACCAGUGCCGAAAGGUGUGUGGGUUCGAGUCCCACCUUCCGCACCA
This 84-nucleotide transfer RNA is filed under the name Pseudomonas aeruginosa. Its description in RNAcentral is "tRNA-Leu". It matches the Rfam family "tRNA". Rfam says of the family: Transfer RNA (tRNA) molecules are approximately 80 nucleotides in length. Their secondary structure includes four short double-helical elements and three loops (D, anti-codon, and T loops). Lineage: Bacteria; Pseudomonadati; Pseudomonadota; Gammaproteobacteria; Pseudomonadales; Pseudomonadaceae. The record is from RNAcentral. RNAcentral also lists the same sequence under 4 other names.